AGGAUGAACGCUGGCGGUCUGCUUAACACAUGCAAGUCGAACGGAGUAGCAAUACUUAGUGGCGGACGGGUGAGUAACGCGUGAGAAUCUACCUUCAGGACGGAGACAACAGUUGGAAACGACUGCUAACCCCCGAUGUACUGAAAAGGCAAAUAUUUAUAGCCUGAAGAAGAGCUCGCGUCCGAUUAGCUAGUUGGAGAGGUAAAAGCUCACCAAGGCGACGAUCGGUAGCUGGUCUGAGAGGACGAUCAGCCACACUGGGACUGAGACACGGCCCAGACUCCUACGGGAGGCAGCAGUGGGAAUUUUCCGCAAUGGGCGAAAGCCUGACGGAGCAAGACCGCGUGGGGGAAGAAGGCUCUUGGGUUGUAAACCUCUUUCGACCUCGACGAAGCUUUUCGGAGUGACGGUAGGGUGGAGAAGCACCGGCCAACUACGUGCCAGCAGCCGC
Molecule: ribosomal RNA, 451 nt
Filed under: uncultured bacterium
Lineage: Bacteria
Description: SSU rRNA
Rfam family: Bacterial small subunit ribosomal RNA
Source: RNAcentral